UUCUACGUUAUCUAUUUUAUUUUCGUAUGUUUAUUUUACUAUUAAUGCAUUAAGCACAGGCACGCAAUAUUUCAAGCUGCUCAAGCGAUAACGCCCAACAUCAUUAUGUACUUACCGCGGAAUGUAGACUUACACCAAGUGGAAGAACUCUGCUGGUUGUCUUCUCCUCCUCUAGACGUUGAGAUUGAAGAAAAUUAUGUGCAGAGCUCUCUAAAGGCUAUAACAGUCUACUUCAGUGGUGCAUCAUCCACUCAAUGUAUAUGAAGAUGUUAAUCGCUUGCUGAAUUAGCCGCUUUUCCAGUUUGUUGCUUCCCGAUUAUAAGUUUUCGUUGACCACGGCCUACAGGAACCAAUUUGUCUACAAGUGAGAUUAGGGUUGUUUUGUUAGACACAAACAUACAUACGGAGAAGGUUCAGUUAACUUCCUCAAAAUGCUCGAUCGUUGGUUUUCAUGUACCAAUUUCCUUGCAAGAUUACAUGGUCUGUUGAUGUAGACCAAUCCUUUUCAAGAAAUGUACAGUUGCCGUAAACCGGCAUCUCUUCAGAACGAUAAAAAAAAAAAAAAAAAAACCGAACGUUUCCAAUGGUGUCGAUGAAGACAACCAAAAAUAUGUACCCUACUCUCGUUUAUCUGAAUGGAACCAAAAACUUGAAAAAAGGCCUUCUCCAUUC
This is a non-coding RNA of Malus domestica (apple), 672 nucleotides long. Lineage: Eukaryota; Viridiplantae; Streptophyta; Magnoliopsida; Rosales; Rosaceae. The record is from RefSeq and is a predicted model, not a curated record.